Hordeum vulgare subsp. vulgare (domesticated barley) is the source of this 1851-nucleotide RNA transcript. It is a transcript of the gene named putative receptor-like protein kinase At4g00960, with no coding region annotated. The record is from RefSeq and is a predicted model, not a curated record. Lineage: Eukaryota; Viridiplantae; Streptophyta; Magnoliopsida; Poales; Poaceae. The transcript has 6 exons.
UCCUGCAAGUUCAGUUCAACUGUUGUAACAAGUGAACAAAGAAGAGGAAGAGUUACAAUUUGCCUGUGAAUUUUGCAAAGCUAGCUUUCUCUGGCUGAAAAAAGUAUGGACAUGCGAAUUUUCCUUAUUUCUACCAGGAAAAUCAACUUCAUGGAUGGUGGGGCUGAAGGUCUACUGGUCAUGCCGUUCGACUUAUUACGAGAAGUUACUAAUGAUUUCUCUGAGGAGCGGAAACUUGGUAGCGGUUCGUUUGGGAAGGUUUACAAGGGAGUGCAUCAAGACGGUGUAAAGAUUGCUGUGAAGAUGCUCUAUGAUAUGCCAGGGCUCGAUGAUGAGCUAUUUCAGAACGAGUUUAAAAACCUUACAAGGCUCAGACACCAAAAUAUUGUGCGGUUAGUUGGCUAUUGCCAUGAUAUUCAGGUAGUACAAGUAAUGCACGAAGGAAAAUUGGUUCUCGCUGAAAAGACACAUAGGGCACUCUGCUUGGAGUAUAUGUCUAAUGGAAGCCUUGACAAGUACCUUUCCGGUAAUGAUCUCCUUACUACCGCUCAAUCUGGCUUCGGAUGGAGGUAGAAUUCGUGGUCAAAAGGCACUAGGCCUGCACCUGGGUGGCGAGGUACAAGGAAGGAGCUGUGAAUCAAUUGAGCACACCAGGAAUCAGUCUGACAAUUGGAAGGCCCUUUUUUCUGGGCUCUGCUUCUAGACAUUGGCACAUAAGGAUUUUCCAUGUGCAUAUGGCCAUUGCAGCUCCUUGACAUGUCCAAUUUCGCAUUUUUAUAAGUACAUCAAAAUGGUUUCUUUAAUCAAAAUGACACAAAAGAGCAGAAUAGUUUGUGACAACUUUGCAUAAUAUGAUUGUUUCCUAUUCACAGGAGGCGGAUAGGAACAUUUUCCGUCAGGAUGCUCAAGAUCCAUUUGAUAAACAUGUCCAACAUAUAUACCAUGGAUCCAAGUUUAAUCAGUAUGCUCAGUGUCUAUUUUGAAAUUCUGGAUAUAAUAAUUACUCCUAUAUCUACUUGUUUUGAAGAAAAUGCUGAUCCUACAGAAACAAGAUUAGAUGGUGACUCGCCGAAUGACAAUCAAGAUUACUCAUCUGGUGGUGAUUUAUUACCUGGUAUUGAGGGAUUUCAAGUUGUCGGCAAUCCUAUACCAGGAUCUACUCUAAGAGCAUGUGGUUUUUCUAUAAAUGGUACUACACGUUGUAAUUUCCAGUGGGUUCACUAUCUUGAAGAUGGGAACCAACCUUCUAAGUAAUUGGAAUUUGAUUUAUAAUAUUAGCCAAUUCCAGCAGUUAUGUUUGGCUAAUAAAGUAGAGAGUCAUGCUACAUAACGAUACAAGGAAGAUACUGAAAGAGGUUUUGCAAGUGCUUCCAGUUUAAGUAUACAUCUUCUUGAAUCCAUGUGCCGAAACCUUCAUCUUUACCUUGAGGUAUGGUCUGCUUUCAGCAGCAUUUAUUUAGUUAAUGUGUCAUUGAAGUGUUGAACAUCAAGUUAUAAUUUACCUCCUAUAUUUUCACCAUUGAUACGCUGCAAGUAUUAAUAAAAAAAUAUGUGUCCGGGUGAAAGUUAUAAAUUAUCCUUUUUAAAAAGAAUUAUCCAUUUUGUUGAAAUUUCAUUUUAUGCAUUUUUGUGCCCACGAAUGAUAUUAUUAUCUCUUUGUAGUUUUAUCGUCCAUGCACUCUAUCGUUAUCAGUAGAGGAGCACAUCGGUUUUUUUCCUUCUCUGAGUUUUCAUUAUUUCAUAUUACAUUUAACCAUGGGAGUGGGUUGUAGGCAUCGUUGUGUUCUGGAUCGGGUAUGUGGAUUUUCUAUGAGUUUUCCUUUUAUAAGAUGGAUAUUUGUGCUUAAGAAC